UUUUGUGUCCACCGGAAAGUCGGUAGAAGGGAUUGACGCGGGGAAUCGCAGAGUAGAGGGGGAUGUUCGUUGCACCACACACAGUUCGUGGCAGAGCGAGGCGAUACGCAUUUCGGAUGUAAUUCGUUAAUUUUUGACAUUAUUAUUUCUCCGUUGUUGGCUGGUUUUGGGAGUGGUUUGGGCGGUGAAAUUUACUGGGUGUUGACUACUGAGAAGGAUUGAUUGAGACGGUCUGUUUGGGAAUCCCCUCAUUACGAACGUUUUUCAAUUGUUCAGAAACAGUUGAUAUUCGAAAAGUUAGUGAGACCAGAGCGAUCAUCUACAGUGGAAUCAUUUUGUAAAGAUGAGUGAGUCCGAGAACAGGCAAAAGUUUACGAUUGUGCAUUUUGGGAUGGGCAGAGCCACAAAAAACAAUGAGGCGAAACUUGCAUACAUGAAAACAGUAUGUUUCAAAUGUAUGGAGGAUGUACUCACGAAGAAAUUUGAGAAAUUCCCUCUGACAGUGCUGACUGCGACAAGCAAUUAUCUAGCCGGUGCACCCAAUCGAAAAGAAUAAAU
Molecule: long non-coding RNA, 558 nt
Organism: Diachasmimorpha longicaudata
Lineage: Eukaryota; Metazoa; Arthropoda; Insecta; Hymenoptera; Braconidae
Exons: 3
Source: RefSeq, a predicted model, not a curated record